UAUUAAUGUUUAUAAAUGAUAAUGUUAUUAAUAUUAAUAAUGUAUAUAUAUAUAUGUGUUAAUAAUAAUGUUUAUAGAUGUGAUUCUAAUUUUUGUUUUAAACCAAAUGAAAGGAAAAAGAAUUUAAAUAAUUAUAAAAAAUGUUGAAAAUAACCACCCUCUGCCAUUAUCGUUGCCUUGCACACAUAGGGGCGUAUCUGAAAUAUUUGUAUUUUACAGGAAAAGCAUUUUAAGAUAUUGGCUCAAGAGAAACUCUCGCUGUGAGAAAACGGUUUGGAAUUUGCGGUUUAAAUUUUGUGCUCAUGUGGGCAUCUAUGAUUAGAACAAUUUGCUAUUAUGAAAUUUUAGAUAAGUUUUCCAAAAAUCAAAAAAAGAUUGAGAUACACGAUAUAUACUUUUUGUGUGCUGUAAUCGAAUUGUUUUCAAAAAGUUACGCCCUUUGCAAAAUAACAACAACCCAUGGUAAUCAAACUUUUAUUCGAAAAAUUAAACAUUUAUUAAGUUUCAAAUUAACCUAGUACUUCAAAGAAAUGAAAAGUGGAAAUCCUGGCCUGGCCUUGAAAAAAAUAAACGUAAGUUCCUUAACGCCCUUAACACUAUUAGCUUUAUAAGAAUAAGUAAACAUUUUUGUUAAUUUUUUAACUUAAAAAAUAUAUCAUAAUAAACCAAAAGUAAAAAACUCUAACAAAAAAACUAAACUGUUUAUAACGUGAAACGAUAAAAAUAGGGACUAAUUCAUGUGGAAGAGAUCUGUAAAAUGACACAUGCUCCUAAGAUCGAAUUACAGGAGUUUCUCCACUGCACAAAGAAAUUUGGUCCUGAUAUUUUAGACAUGGUAUCUUUGGUAUGUUAUCUAAGAUACGCCUUUUUGUCUGCUGUUUUAAAAUGACUUGAUGAGAUACGCCUAAACAGUUUGCGUGCAUAACCCAGGCAAUAAAUUAUAUUGACACUGCAAAAAUUAUCUGGAUUCUGGCAAAGUAAUGGGUUUCUUGGCUUUUUUUUUCUUAUAGCAAAACCGCCGAGUUUAAACUAAUAGUAUUUUUCUUUCCUCAAGAGAUCCAAAGUUUUUCAAUCAAAUCCCCGAUUCAUUUGCUAUAUUAUUAUUUAUUGACAAAGCCGGUAUUCUUGCCGCUAGCAUGGGACUUUUAACAAGAUCUUAUGAUUUUAAAAUAAAAUAUCGAUUUUUGUCAUACGCGAAUAUGAUUAUCUUGUUCCUUUGUAUUAUUGUAUUCCAUCGUUUCGAGUUUCGGGAUUCAGUCAGUGUUCAGUUGGGGUUCGCCGUGCGACAUCACACAAAGUACCGUGUAUAGUGCAUAGUGCGAGGAAUCUACUAAUUUAGUAAUUUACUUUCUUUUGUGAUCUUAACUUUCAAAAAUGGGUGACAUUGACGGAAAUAAUUUUAAGCUGCUACUAGACAAGUGGAACUUGGGCCACUUGUUGCAAAAAUUUGCAGAUGAAAGUGUUGACAUUGAGCUUAUUAAGUAUUUGUCAGUGGAUUAAAUAAAUGUUUUUGCUGCAAAUAUUGGAGAUCGCAUAAGGCUGACAAGAUUAGUGCAAUCAUUGCAGAAUGAAAAGGGGGAAGAGGAUAUUGUUUGCAAUACCAUUCCUUUAAAAAAAACAAAAAAUUACUAGUGAUGUGGCACUGACUGAAGAUGAAUAUAUGCCCAAUUUAUCACCCCCGCCAAUAGAAGAAGAAAGACACUGUCUAAAGACAUUGUACUGACUCUUUAGUCUAGAAGUCUGGGAACGACUAGACUUUUGAGAGACACUGUGAGUUUUUUAUGUAGAUAUAUUUUUAAAAUGCUCUUUAUAGUUUAAUAUAAUAUAAGAAUCCCUAAAGACU
RNAcentral lists this long non-coding RNA (1843 nucleotides) under Anthonomus grandis grandis. RNAcentral describes it as "uncharacterized LOC126744340". The record is from RNAcentral. Lineage: Eukaryota; Metazoa; Arthropoda; Insecta; Coleoptera; Curculionidae.